Vigna radiata var. radiata (mung bean) is the source of this 3451-nucleotide RNA transcript. It is a transcript of the gene named homeobox protein HAT3.1, with no coding region annotated. Lineage: Eukaryota; Viridiplantae; Streptophyta; Magnoliopsida; Fabales; Fabaceae. The record is from RefSeq and is a predicted model, not a curated record. The transcript is spliced from 10 exons.
AAGAAAGAUCCCUAGAUGAAAUCCACGAAGAUCCAGUACCCGCCGCUGUUUGUUUGGUGGCCCAUAUUUGGAGGAGUAAGAAAUAUAAACGAAGCACCGUUUUUUUCUCACUUUGGCGCUGAGAUUGAGAAAAGGGAACUCUCACGAAACUCAACUCUCUCUUUCUCUCUCUCUCUCUCUCCUUCACCCUCUUCUCUCUGCAGCCAAUCCCCAUUUCAGAUCGAGCCCUUCUUCUUCCUCCACCCUUUCCCAUUCGCUGUGGUGACUGCUCUCUCUUCUUCACCACCAAGAUUACUUGACUCACAUUUAGACUAUAGUGGUGGAUGCUGUGGUGUGUGGUUUUUCCUCAGACCUAUGACUAGUCCAUUUGGAGAAUUGACAAGCAAUAACAGUGCCGCUGGAAGGAUGAGUACUGAACAAUCUGAAUUGUCUGAAAAAACACAGUUAGGGACUGAGCAGUUACUAAAGGAACAACGGGAGUCUGGUACUGUUUUAACCAGUUCAGUUAUCGAUGAAAUAUCAAAUCAAGUUUUUGCUAAUGCGACAGAGAAUUCUGUUAUUUUACUGCCUGCACCACCUCAACAUGACUCAGAAAAGAAUUGUCAGAAUGUAGAAGGUUCACACCUGCAACAAAGUACCGAUAAAGAAGUCUCUUUACAGUUAUCUAACGACAAGCCAGAAAACCCAUCCCAACCAUUGUCUGAAAAUGAACCUGUGGAAUCCGUUUCUGCCUCUGCUGGGGAUGGCCAAAAGCAAUCUAGUCCAGCUCAAGCGAAUACAAGUUAUGUGAAUAAAUUGUUGGAUCCACCUAAUGAAGACGCUGUGACCAAUUUUUCAGAAAAAGUGUCUAAUAGCCCCGCUAAUUCGCAAUCGAGGCGCAAGGGUAAAAAAAACUCAAAAUUGUUGAAGAAGACAUAUAUGCUACGAUCAAUAGGAAGCAGUGACAGAGCUUUGCGGUCAAAAACAAAAGAAAAUCCCAAGACACCUGAACCAAGUAGUAAUUUGGUUGAUUUUAAUAAUAAUAAUAGCAAUGCUGGAGGGAAGAGGAAAACUAGUAGGAAGAAGAGAAAGAGUGGAGAGGUUGGAAUCACUGAUCAAUUCUCCAGAAUCAAAUCUCACUUAAGAUAUUUAUUAAACAGAAUAAGCUACGAGAAAAGCUUGAUUGAUGCUUAUUCUGGCGAAGGCUGGAAAGGAUACAGUAUGGAAAAAUUGAAGCCUGAGAAAGAACUUCAACGGGCCAAGUCUGAAAUUCUUCGACGCAAAUUGAACAUUAGGAAUCUAUUUCGAGAUUUGGAUUCAUUGUGUGCUGAAGGAAAGCUGCCAGAAUCUUUAUUUGAUUCUGAGGGAGAGAUUGACAGUGAGGAUAUAUUCUGUGCAAAAUGCCAUUCCAAAGAGUUGAGUUCUAAUAAUGAUAUAAUUCUCUGUGAUGGUGUCUGUGACCGCGGCUUUCACCAGCUCUGUUUGUUUCCUCCGUUGUUAACUGAAGACAUUCCACCUGAUGAUGAGGGUUGGUUAUGCCCUGGAUGUGAUUGCAAAGAUGACUGCAUGGACCUUAUUAAUGACUCCUUUGGAACAAGUCUCUCUAUUAGCGACACCUGGGAGAGCGUUUUUCCUGAAGCAGCAGCAGCUGCUGGGAAUAAUAUGGAUAACAACUUGGGACUCCCUUCUGAUGAUUCUGAUGAUGAUGAUUAUAACCCUAAUGGUCCAGAGGAUUUGAAAAUUGAAGGAGAUGAAUCAAGUUCUGAGGAAUCUGACUAUGCUUCUGCUUCUGAGAAUUUGGAGGGUUCACAUGGGGAUCAAUACUUGGGCCUUCCAUCUGAAGAUUCUGAUGAUGGUGAUUAUGAUCCUGAUGCUCCAGAUGUUGACAAUAAGGUCAAUGAAGAAAGUUCAAGCUCUGAUUUCACGUCUGACUCCGAGGAUCUUGCUGCUGCAAUUGUGGAUAAUGCAUCCCCUGGACAGGAUGAGGAAAUCAGAUCUGCAUCAUUGGAUGAUGUUAAGCACUUGAGAAGUUAUGGCAAAAAAAAGGGUAAAGCUGGUAAGAAGCUAUCUAUGGCUGAUGAACUGUCGUCUUUACUAGAGCCAGAUUCUGGUGGAGAAGGUUCUAUACAUGUUUCUGGGAAAAGGAAUUUGGAAAGGUUGGACUACAAAAAGUUGUAUGAUGAGACAUACCAUAGCGAUACUAGUGAAGAUGAAGAUUGGACAGCCACUGUUACUCCUAGCAGAAAGAAGAAAGGCAAUGCGACUCCUGUGUCUCCAAAUGGAAAUGCUUCAAAUAAUUCCAUGCACACUCCUAAGAGGAAUGGCCAUCAGAAUAAAUUUGAAAAUACAAAAAAUUCACCUGCCAAAUCACAUGGCGAUGUGAAAUUUGAUUCCAGGGAACAAACGUCUAGAUCUCCAGGAGGCCAUAGACUAGGAGAAGCAGUAGUUCAGAGACUUCACAUAUCUUUUAAAGAAAAUCAGUAUCCAGAUAGAGCUACUAAAGAAAACUUGGCACAGGAACUUGGACUUACUUAUCAGCAGGUUGGCAAAUGGUUUGACAAUACACGGUGGAGCUUCCGGCACUCAUCAAAAACCAAUUCAGGUAGAAAUACAUUACGGAAAGCUGCUGAUAGCAGAGCUGAAAAUGAAGGGGGUGAAUGUGAGUUAGUGUCCCCGGAGGUCAGCGGAGAAAAAGCAAAAGCCCCAAGCUCUGGAAAAAGAAAGCAUUUGUCAGAACACCAACUAUCUGAAGACAAAGCUCAUCAAACCCAAAGGGGGAAGAAAAUGAAGACAAGGAGAAGGAAAUGAUGCGUUAAUACGAACUCGGUUUUAACCUUCUUUAAGGCUUCAAAUUAAACUAUCCAUCUUUUUGUGAGAUCGUGAUCUCAUGAGAUGAUCAGCUCGGAUCUCGAUGGAUUUGUUUCCAUUCAGGCAGGGUUGACUUUUUUGGUAAUCCCAGUCUCCUAAGAUGUUUGUUUUGUUGUGUGUGGCGGGAUGGGGCAUCAUAUACUUCAAUUGCUGCAGGCUUCUUAUAAUGUUGAGAAGCUAUUUUUCAUGUCCAAAUGAAUGCCCUGGAACUGACACGCAUGUUGAUAAGCUAUCUGUUAUGUGUUAUUUGGUGGACUAUUGUGUAUAUGUGGGGAAUGCUAAGAGGAAUGGAAUUAAAAUUAGACAUUGAGGGACACGUGAUUGAUAAUUGUUUUAGGUAGUCAUUUGUAAGAACUGAAGUUGGGCUUGUGAUAUAUUGUAGUUGUGGAAACUGGGAUUGAGCCAACAUCAAAGGGUCAUGAUGUUGGCAAGAGUUGAACUUGGCUAAUCCAGAUGUGUCAUGCCUUCAACUACUGCAACUUCUUUAUGGGUUCAACUGUAAACUUAUAUUGGGUAUGGAUAUUUAAAAAUUUAGUUAAAAAGUUUCAUUUUUUUUUGUAUCCAAUCUUUUUCAAGAUUGUCCUUAAAUAUUAUUUUUGCCAAA